CUACGGGCCGCUCCAGUGGGGAAUAUUGGGCAAUGGGCGAAAGCCUGACCCAGCAACGCCGCGUGAAGGAAGAAGGUUUUCGGAUCGUAAACUUCUAUCCUAGGUGAAGAUAAUGACGGUAGCCUAGAAGGAAGCCCCGGCUAACUACGUGCCAGCAGCCGCGGUAAUACGUAGGGGGCAAGCGUUGUCCGGAAUGAUUGGGCGUAAAGGGCGCGUAGGCGGCCAUGUAAGUCCGAUGUGAAAGUCCUGCUUUUAAGGUGGGAAUUGCAUUGGAAACUGUGUGGCUUGAGUGCAGGAGAGGUAAGCGGAAUUCCCGGUGUAGCGGUGAAAUGCGUAGAGAUCGGGAGGAACACCAGUGGCGAAGGCGGCUUACUGGACUGUAACUGACGCUGAGGCGCGAAAGUGUGGGGAGCAAACAGGAUUAGAUACCCUGGUAGUC
Molecule: ribosomal RNA, 439 nt
Filed under: uncultured bacterium
Lineage: Bacteria
Description: partial 16S ribosomal RNA
Rfam family: Bacterial small subunit ribosomal RNA
Source: RNAcentral